Molecule: long non-coding RNA, 415 nt
Filed under: Cricetulus griseus (Chinese hamster)
Lineage: Eukaryota; Metazoa; Chordata; Mammalia; Rodentia; Cricetidae
Description: lncRNA (ENSCGRG00015029934.1)
Source: RNAcentral
AAAUGAUCUAUAUUUUGGACAUCUGUGUAUGGUGGCACUAGUUUUUUGUACAUCAAGAUCGGAAUUAUGCCUUCCUCUUUGGAUGCCAGUGUCAUAGAAUAUGACACAUAGUAGUGACUCCACUUCAGUUCCCUGUAUGCCAGCUGCUGCAAUAGUUUGCUGUCACUAAGCCUCGACAUGCGUCCACCCCAGAGGAGUUAAGUGAGACCACAUCAAUGCAGGGGAACUGGCUGUCUUCCAGAACUGCACUGUGGGCCAUUCUAUCCUGUGCUCGAUUGCUGGUACUGACACCUGUAAACCAGAUGGGUUAGCCACUGUUAUACUACGAUGUAUAGGACAAGAGGAGGGAUGAUUGUGUCUCCUCCUCCAACCAUUGCAAAGACAUCUGCAAUUGUGCAUGGCUGAGCCCUUAGAC